UACAGAGGGUGCGAGCGUUGUUCGGAAUUAUUGGGCGUAAAGGGCGCGUAGGCGGUGCGGCAAGUCACCUGUGAAAUCUCCCGGCUCAACUGGGAGCCUGCAGGCGAAACUGCCGUGCUUGAGUGUGGGAGAGGUGCGUGGAAUUCCCGGUGUAGCGGUGAAAUGCGUAGAUAUUGGGAAGAACACCGGUGGCGAAGGCGGCGACCUGGUCCGUGACUGACGCUGAGGCGCGAAAGCGUGGGGAGCAAACAGG
This 253-nucleotide ribosomal RNA is filed under the name uncultured prokaryote. RNAcentral's name for it is "partial 16S ribosomal RNA". It matches the Rfam family "Bacterial small subunit ribosomal RNA", at positions 524 to 776 of the family's 1533-position model. The record is from RNAcentral.